UAAGCGGAGGAAAAGAAACCACCAGGGAUUGCCUCAGUAGCGGCGAGUGAAGCGGCAAAAGCUCAAAUUUGAAAUCUGGCGUCUUUGGCGUCCGAGUUGUAAUUUGAAGAAGGUAUCUUUGGGCCCGGCUCUUGUCUAUGUUCCUUGGAACAGGACGUCACAGAGGGUGAGAAUCCCGUGCGAUGAGAUGACCCGGGUCUGUGUAAAGUUCCUUCGACGAGUCGAGUUGUUUGGGAAUGCAGCUCUAAGUGGGUGGUAAAUUCCAUCUAAAGCUAAAUAUUGGCGAGAGACCGAUAGCGAACAAGUACAGUGAUGGAAAGAUGAAAAGAACUUUGAAAAGAGAGUGAAAAAGUACGUGAAAUUGUUGAAAGGGAAGGGCUUGAGAUCAGACUUGGUAUUUUGCAUGCUGCUCUCUCGGGGGCGGCCGCUGCGGUUUACCGGGCCAGCAUCGGUUUGGAGCGGCAGGAUAAUGGCGGAGGAAUGUGGCACGGCUUCUGCUGUGUGUUAUAGCCUCUGACGAUACUGCCAGCCUAGACCGAGGACUGCGGUUUUUACCUAGGAUGUUGGCAUAAUGAUCUUAAGUCGCCCGUCUUGA
Molecule: ribosomal RNA, 595 nt
Filed under: Candida albicans
Lineage: Eukaryota; Fungi; Ascomycota; Pichiomycetes; Serinales; Debaryomycetaceae
Description: LSU rRNA
Rfam family: Eukaryotic large subunit ribosomal RNA
Source: RNAcentral